GAUGAAGAACGUAGCAAAAUGCGAUAAGUAAUGUGAAUUGCAGAAUUCAGUGAAUCAUCGAAUCUUUGAACGCACAUUGCGCCCGCUGGUAUUCCGGCGGGCAUGCCUGUUCGAGCGUCAUUUCAACCCUCAAGCCCCCGGGUUUGGUGUUGGGGAUCGGCUCUGCCCUCCUGGGCGGUGCCGCCCCCGAAAUACAUUGGCGGUCUCGCUGCAGCCUCCAUUGCGUAGUAGCUAACACCUCGCAACUGGAACGCGGCGCGGCCAUGCCGUAAAACCCCAACUUCUGAAUGUUGACCUCGGAUCAGGUAGGAAUACCCGCUGAACUUAAGCAUAUCAAUAAGCGGAGGA
This 348-nucleotide unclassified non-coding RNA is filed under the name soil metagenome. Its description in RNAcentral is "partial contains 5.8S ribosomal RNA, internal transcribed spacer 2, and large subunit ribosomal RNA". The stretch from base 1 to 120 matches the Rfam family "5.8S ribosomal RNA", at positions 35 to 154 of the family's 154-position model. The record is from RNAcentral.